Molecule: ribosomal RNA, 468 nt
Filed under: uncultured bacterium
Lineage: Bacteria
Description: partial 16S ribosomal RNA
Rfam family: Bacterial small subunit ribosomal RNA
Source: RNAcentral
GACGAACGCUGGCGGCGUGCUUAACACAUGCAAGUCGAACGGAAAGGCCCUGCUUUUGUGGGGUGCUCGAGCGGCGAACGGGUGAGUAACACGUGAGUAACCUGCCCUUGACUUUGGGAUAACUUCAGGAAACUGGGGCUAAUACCGGAUAGGAGCUCCUGCUGCAUGGUUGGGGUUGGACAGUUUCGGCGGUUGGGGAUGGACUCGCGGCUUAUCAGCUUGUUGGUGGGGUAGUGGCUUACCAAGGCUUUGACGGGUAGCCGGCCUGAGAGGGUGACCGGCCACAUUGGGACUGAGAGACGGCCCAGACUCAUACGGGAGGCAGCAGUGGGGAAUAUAGCACAAUGGGCGGAAGACUGAUGCAGCAACGCCGCGUGCGGGAUGAAGGCCUUCGGGUUGUAAACCGCUUUCGCCUGUGACGAAGCGUGAGUGACGGUAAUGGGUAAAGAAGCACCGGCUAACUACGUG